Molecule: long non-coding RNA, 783 nt
Filed under: Oryzias javanicus (javanese ricefish)
Lineage: Eukaryota; Metazoa; Chordata; Actinopteri; Beloniformes; Adrianichthyidae
Description: lncRNA (ENSOJAG00000001119.1)
Source: RNAcentral
AUGUUCUACCGCAUCCCUCAGAUUCUACCGCGUCCCGCAGAUUCUACUGAGUUCUACCGCAUCCCGCAGAUUCUACUGUGUCAUGCAGAUUCUACUGCGUCCUGCAGAUUCUACCGCGUCCUGCAGAGUUCUACCGCGUCCUGCAGAGUUCUACUGCGUCCUGCAGAGUUCUACCUCGUCCUGCAGAUUCUACUGCGUCCUGCAGAGUUCUACCGCGUCCUAAAAUGUUUUACUGCGUCCUGCAGAUUCUACCGCGUCCUGCAGAUUCUACUGCGUCCUGCAGAUUCUACUGCGUCAUGCAGAGUUCUACCGCGUCCUGCAGAUUCUACUGCGUCCUGCAGAGUUCUACCGCGUCCUAAAAUGUUCUACCGCGUCCUGCAGAGUUCUACUGCGUCCUGCAGAGUUCUACCGCGUCCUGCAGAUUCUACUGCGUCCUGCAGAGUUCUACCGCGUCCUAAAAUGUUUUACUGCGUCCUGCAGAUUCUACUGGAUCCUGCAGAUUCUACUGCGUCCUGCAGAUUCUACUGCGUCCUAAAAUGUUCUACUGCGUCCCGCAGAUUCUACUGGGUCCUGCAGAGUUCUACCGCGUCCUAAAAUGUUCUACUGCGUCCCGCAGAUUCUACUGCGUCCUGCAGAUUCUACUGCGUCCUGCAGAGUUCUACCGUGUCCUAAAAUGUUCUACUGCGUCCCGCAGAGUUCUACCGCGUCCUAAAAUGUUCUACUGCGUCCUGCAGAUUCUACCGCGUCCCGCAGAGUUCUACUGCGUCCUAAAAUGUUCUACUG